This 256-nucleotide long non-coding RNA is filed under the name Chrysemys picta bellii (western painted turtle). RNAcentral describes it as "lncRNA (ENSCPBG00000015887.1)". The record is from RNAcentral. Lineage: Eukaryota; Metazoa; Chordata; Testudines; Emydidae.
UUCUGACUUAAUUCAUCUUGCUUGACAGCUCCUGUGUCAGCACCAAAUAUCUGUACAGCAGUACAAGCUGAAAGCCUCUGAAUCUUCUCUUGUCCAGGCGCCAGAUAAGCUUGGGGACUUUGCAUCUGCUGCUUGGACUACACGUGAGGUGCUAUUGCCAGGAGAAUAGAGCUGAGAUGUGAGCAUCGGAAUGAACAGGGUAUUUUAAAAUAUUUACACAUAGACACAACACAAACAUCUCUGAGUAACAGGGCCA